NNAGGUUUAGCUCAGCUGGGAGAGCAUCUGCCUUACAAGCAGAGGGUCACAGGUUCGAACCCUGUAACCUCCA
RNAcentral lists this transfer RNA (73 nucleotides) under Ligilactobacillus ceti DSM 22408. RNAcentral describes it as "Lactobacillus ceti DSM 22408 tRNA". It matches the Rfam family "tRNA". Rfam says of the family: Transfer RNA (tRNA) molecules are approximately 80 nucleotides in length. Their secondary structure includes four short double-helical elements and three loops (D, anti-codon, and T loops). Further hydrogen bonds mediate the characteristic L-shaped molecular structure. tRNAs have two regions of fundamental functional importance: the anti-codon, which is responsible for specific mRNA codon recognition, and the 3' end, to which the tRNAs corresponding amino acid is attached (by aminoacyl-tRNA synthetases). tRNAs cope with the degeneracy of the genetic code in two manners: having more than one tRNA (with a specific anti-codon) for a particular amino acid; and 'wobble' base-pairing, i.e. permitting non-standard base-pairing at the 3rd anti-codon position. The record is from Rfam by way of RNAcentral. Lineage: Bacteria; Bacillati; Bacillota; Bacilli; Lactobacillales; Lactobacillaceae.